AGAGUGAACGCUGGCGGCAGGCCUAACACAUGCAAGUCGAACGGCAGCACAGGGGAGCUUGCUCCCUGGGUGGCGAGUGGCGGACGGGUGAGGAAUGCGUCGGAAUCUGCCUUUUCGUGGGGGAUAACGUAGGGAAACUUACGCUAAUACCGCAUGCGACCCCGUUCCGGGAGGAUCGGGGUGAAAGCGGGGGACCUUCGGGCCUCGCGCGGAAAGAUGAGCCGACGCCGGAUUAGCUAGUUGGCGGGGUAACGGCCCACAAGGCGACGAUCCGUAGCUGGUCUGAGAGGAUGAUCAGCCACACUGGAACUGAGACACGGUCCAGACUCCGUACGGGAGCAGCAGUGGGAAUA
Molecule: ribosomal RNA, 353 nt
Filed under: uncultured soil bacterium
Lineage: Bacteria
Description: bacterial SSU rRNA
Rfam family: Bacterial small subunit ribosomal RNA
Source: RNAcentral